Molecule: ribosomal RNA, 379 nt
Filed under: uncultured bacterium
Lineage: Bacteria
Description: partial 16S ribosomal RNA
Rfam family: Bacterial small subunit ribosomal RNA
Source: RNAcentral
GGGGAAUAUUGCACAAUGGGCGAAAGCCUGAUGCAGCAACGCCGCGUGAGUGAUGAAGGUCUUCGGAUUGUAAAGCUCUGUCUUUUGGGACGAUAAUGACGGUACCAAAGGAGGAAGCCACGGCUAACUACGUGCCAGCAGCCGCGGUAAUACGUAGGUGGCGAGCGUUGUCCGGAUUUACUGGGCGUAAAGGGUGCGUAGGCGGAUGUUUAAGUGAGAUGUGAAAUACCCGGGCUUAACUUGGGUGCUGCAUUUCAAACUGGAUAUCUAGAGUGCAGGAGAGGAGAAUGGAAUUCCUAGUGUAGCGGUGAAAUGCGUAGAGAUUAGGAAGAACACCAGUGGCGAAGGCGAUUCUCUGGACUGUAACUGACGCUGAGGC